AUGAGAUUCUGCAAGUGUAAGAAGGUGAUUCAAGCACCGAUUCCAAGCACCAAAACCCCCAAGAGUUUUGGAGUGCUUGUGAAGUCGGACAGCAACACUUUGAAGUAAUCGAGAUGUUCGGUGUCUGAAGGCAUCCAACUGGAAUUUAGGAUCUCUCAAGUGCUCAACACCUUCCCAGCGUGCAGUUACAGGAUUUGGUUGAGACAGAUAUGCGGUCAUGGAUUCUUUCAAGUAGUUCCAUGUAACUGCCAGUGUCCCACCUUGGAACUUUUCCUUGUAUUGCUUUAAGAGAUCACCUGCUACCUGUUGUAGAAGCACUGUGUUGUCCCCCUCGAAUGUCUGAAAAAUAUCAUGAUCAUUCCUCAAUGAACCAAACCGGUUGACAGCAGCAUAGCCAUGUCCUCCACAGGCUUCCCUGCAGACACUCAAUGACUUUGCUGUAUAUGAUGUCACAUAUGCCUUAAGGCCAGCUGAAAGCGAAUGGACAUCACCAACUAAUUGUUCAUCAUGAGUCUUUUUCAUCUCCGAAUAUUUUUCUACCAAAUGCAAUGUAGCAAAAUGGAAUGCAUAAGUUGAAGCUAGCAUUGGCAUGAGCUUGUGCUGUUGAGACUGAUAAUCAAGAAUGCUAACUUCAGGCUGCUUGGGAGGGCCAAACUGCUGGCGCAGCAAUGAAUAUCUGAUGGCAAUUGUUCCAGCAAGUUUGAGCACACCAACUGAAGAAUAUGCAAGGCCAACCCUUCCACCAACAAGUUCGCCUAGCGUAGCAGCAAAUCGCUUAUUUAUGGUUGGAAGGCUACUGGUGUACUUCCCAUCUCGAGACACAUCUCCAAAUCGAUUAAGAAGAUUGUCUCGGGGAAUUCUUACUGAACUGAACC
RNAcentral lists this unclassified non-coding RNA (875 nucleotides) under Hevea brasiliensis (rubber tree). The record is from RNAcentral. Lineage: Eukaryota; Viridiplantae; Streptophyta; Magnoliopsida; Malpighiales; Euphorbiaceae.